UUCAAUUGGUUUUGUGUGACUUCGUUUGGUUUGAUUUUAUUUGGUGAGUUAAGAUAGUGCUCACAAGGUGUUUGUGAAAAGUUCUCAUCGAAGAUAAAUUUGAAUUUUUUUUGGUCUCAAUUCUUCUCUUUAAUUGUCUCUUCUUUGGUUGAUCAUCUCUUUGUUGGUAUGUUUGUUUCUCUUCUUUGAUUGUCUUCCUCUCUUUGGUUUCUUCUGAUUGAUUGG
RNAcentral lists this long non-coding RNA (225 nucleotides) under Trifolium pratense (red clover). RNAcentral describes it as "long non-coding RNA (TPRA_LNC008943)". The record is from RNAcentral. Lineage: Eukaryota; Viridiplantae; Streptophyta; Magnoliopsida; Fabales; Fabaceae.